Molecule: ribosomal RNA, 430 nt
Filed under: Bacillota bacterium
Lineage: Bacteria; Bacillati; Bacillota
Description: Firmicutes bacterium partial 16S ribosomal RNA
Rfam family: Bacterial small subunit ribosomal RNA
Source: RNAcentral
UGGGGAAUAUUGCGCAAUGGCCGCAAGGCUGACGCAGCGACGCCGCGUGUGGGAUGAAGGCCUUCGGGUUGUAAACCACUGUCGGGGGGGACGAAUACCCGGCCUCGAAUAGGGGACCGGGGGGGACGGUACCCCCAAAGGAAGCACCGGCUAACUCCGUGCCAGCAGCCGCGGUAAUACGGAGGGUGCGAGCGUUGUCCGGAAUCACUGGGCGUAAAGGGUGCGUAGGCGGCUACUUAAGUCGCGUGUGAAAUCCCGGGGCUCAACUCCGGGGCUGCACGCGAUACUGGGUGGCUCGAGCUCGGUAGGGGCGAGUGGAAUUCCCGGUGUAGCGGUGGAAUGCGUAGAUAUCGGGAAGAACACCGGUGGCGAAGGCGGCUCGCUGGGCCGAUGCUGACGCGGAGGCACGAAAGCGUGGGGAGCAAACAGG